Non-coding RNA from Gossypium hirsutum (cotton), 86 nucleotides. NCBI's taxonomy places the organism in Eukaryota, Viridiplantae, Streptophyta, Magnoliopsida, Malvales, Malvaceae. The record is from Rfam.
CUUAAUGAAGCGCUUUGUCCACGUGGACACAAAGCGCUCCCUCAAGGAAGCUUUUCUGUCCACGUGGACAAAGCGCUUCCUUGAGG